This 3260-nucleotide long non-coding RNA is filed under the name Sphaeramia orbicularis (orbiculate cardinalfish). RNAcentral's name for it is "lncRNA (ENSSORG00005001878.1)". Lineage: Eukaryota; Metazoa; Chordata; Actinopteri; Kurtiformes; Apogonidae. The record is from RNAcentral.
GAGAAACUUACAGAGGCCUGCUGUAAAAGUGGCAGAGUCCUGCAGUCCAGACCCAGACCCAACACUGCACAGCAACGUCAUAGAACCACACCAGGGCCCAGAUACAGAGACAGACACACAGGUGGUACUUCGGGCUGGAGGGACAGAGGAGAGAGAGGAUAUCAUCAUCAUGGAAGAGGAUGGAGAGGGGCAUCAAGAGGAAGACAAAAUGAAUAUGAAGGAGAGGGAUUAUGGGAGAGAGGAUGGGGUCGUCAUAACAUUGCUCCUCAACAGCCUGAUUUUUAUCCUCAUUACCAUCAUGGUGGUGGAGUCCAGAAUAUAAACCGUCCUCAAAACCAACCCCGAGGCAGGUUUGAUCAGAGCAGGGGAAGAUAUCAAUUGGCUCCAAGAUGGUCACAGCCUCCUGCCUCCUGAAAGUGACACAGAUGAGGAGAGGAUUAAAGGGAGUGUUAACUUUUGGAGUUAAGAGCACAUGAAAGACACAAUGAAAGCAGAGAAGAAGUCAAAUAUCUCUGAACAAACUGAUGAGUGAAUUACCAUCAGGAAUGUUUGUAUAAAGGAUGCAGGCAAAUCACAUAAGGGACAUUAAGAUGAGGUAGAAUGAACAGAUUAAGGAAAAAAAAAAAUAUUACGACAGUUUAGCUUGAAUUGGUCUCAAAAGGCUGACAUAAAAAGAAAUGGUGUGAAGAAGGACUCCCCAAACACACACACACACACACACAUACCAACAAGUGGAUUAACUGUUAAUCCUAAAGCUGUUUUUACAUCUUAUCUUUGAAAAUAAAAGAGCAAAGAUCUUAAAGGCAGUGUUUAUCCACUGCCAAAAUCCCUUUAAAGUAAUGGUUUUAACUUCAGAAAAAGCAGCAUCAGUGUCAAAUAUCAGCUGAAGUGUCAUGAGAUUUACAGUAUCCUAUCAGCUGACAUGGGUCGUGUGUGGCAAUGAAAACAAAGUGAGUCAUGACAAAACGGUAUUAACUGCCUGGAAAAGAAAAGCCAGUAUUUUAACAUUUAACGUGAGCUCGUAUAGUAAGUUAUAAGGUUCUUGUUCUGCAGACUUUGGGCUGUUUUAACUAUUGACACGCCAGAUUCGCUGUGUCUGAAUUUACCCUCAUUUGUUCAUCACUAUAUAUGUCAAAUAAAUGAUGUGGUCUCAUGUAAUGUGUGUCCUUGUGCGAGUACCCAGAGGAAGAACUCGGGAUGAAAUCUAACGUGUACUUGAAGUAACCAUUUUCAUAUUUCUGAUUCGGCUGUGAAUUCACCACAAAAAUCACGUCACUGUGACACCAAAGAAUGUUAAGUUUGUCGUAUUGACCCAAGGUUUCUGCAGAUCAUUAAAAAGCAUUAAAGGUCAUUAAAUAGAUUUUGUGAAAAUUAAGGCCUUAAAAAGCAUUAAAUACCAUGUCCAGAGGCAUUCAAAAAUUAAAUACACUUGAUGGAAAAAAAAAGCAUUGGUAUUCAUAAUUUUUUUUGAUUAUGUAAACAUUAAUAAUUUUGAUCAGAAGUAUAGUGUGAUGAUUGACAGACGGAACCCUUUAAUUGGCUAUUGCUUAUGGCCGAUACACGAAUCACAACACACCCAUCUAUUUAUUGUCCGUCCAUCCAUCCAUCCAUGGCUCACAUCCAUGCUGUGAGCGUGCACAUGCCGUGGCAAAAGAGUGGAGGGAACAGGAAAGAUUCAGAACCUGGUUAAAGCAUGUCAAAGGUAAACCAUCAUAAAACUAUAAAUAAAACCGUAUCUGCACUUGGACAUGGGCAUUAAAUUUGUUUAAAGUAACAUUCAAAAGGACAUUAAAAAGCAUAAAAUUAGAUUUGCUAAUACCUGCAGAAACCCUGAGACCAGAAAAUGGCAUUUAUUUAAUAAACAUUUGUGUAUAAUGCACAUAAUAUCAUACAUUGUUUGUCUUAUAAAUAUGACCAUCACUACUGAUCAUAAACACAUUUGGAACAUCACUGAAAUGUUUUGAAAUGUCUCACGAACCUGAUCAGUGGUUGAAAGUAAAAAUCUCAGAUACUUGUAGAUGACUUUUUUUGUUUUUAUGCUACUUAAAAUCUCUGCUCCAUUAUGUCUCAGAUUCUCAAUAUUGAAGUUUUUACUCCACAGACAGCUUUACCUUUCACACUUUCAUCCUCUUCUAGUAAAAAAUGACACAUCAUAAAAUGUAUUUUGAAUGUUUGUGGAAAAGCUAGAGAAUAGAGUAUUCCAUCAUGUGUUUCAUUAUAAUUUCUCCUCCCUCUUAAGUCAAACUGUUUCCCACCUGUUGACUGGCUGCUUUUUGUUUUGUCAAAAAGCUCUGUUUUUCUGAGCUCAUGAAAAAAUGACUUUUCAGAGAUACAACAUAAACAUGACAAAAAUAUGCAUUGCUGUAGAUUAAAACCCUGAUGUGCCCUUGAGCAAGGCAUUUAACCCCCCUUUUGCUUUCUGGGGGCCUCAUGCAGCUCACUGCUCCUCGUCUGCGGGGUGUGUUGCUGCAUAUUCAGCUAAUGAGGGGUUAAAGGCUGAGGAUCAGUUUUAGUUUGUGUUACAUAUAUAAUAUACUGACAAAGAUUGUUCUCUAAUCUUAGACAUUCAACGUAUUAAAAUAUAACAAAUGCAUUAAUGCAGCUGUGAAAUGAAACAAACAUCAUACAUUAGACAUGUUUAACAGACAUAAACACAGGAAACAGUAUCAUAAACAGCCUUUUACCAUAUAAAUGUCAUACCUGUAACUACUUAUUUAGUCUCCAAAUUCUGAUUGUUAGAAGGAAAUAUUACAUGAAAGAUGUUGGUGAUCUUUCUAUGAUAAUGGACAUAAAUACAUGUUUAUUUGCAUGUUAAAACUGUAUAAUCCAGAUAAAAGAAACUGCUGAUGGAUGUGUAUGUCAGUGAUGUGAAUUUUACAUGUACAGUCGCAGAAAAAAUGAUUAGACCAUCAAAAGUCAUCAAAAACAAUGGUUAUGCAAUCAAGUAGUAACUCCUGUGUGUAUCAUGUGACUAAAACAGACAGAAAAGAAAACAUGGAAUGUCUAAAAGCACUGUUUUUGUCAGUACAAUACCAUAGAUUUUGAUGUAAGAACUGAAGUGAUUUUGGUUAUUAUCAAGAAAACAUGGAAAAUGAAUAGAUAUCAGCUCUGAAAUGAAACUCUUCUAACCUAUUUUUGUUGCUAUCAUUAUAUUUGUCCAAACAAAUGUACUUUUACUUGUACCAGGCACUAAAAUGAACAAGAAAUUGAAGAAAACAAGGGGUGGUCUAAUAAUUUUUUCCACGACUGUUUGAAAUAAU